Molecule: long non-coding RNA, 214 nt
Filed under: Physcomitrium patens
Lineage: Eukaryota; Viridiplantae; Streptophyta; Bryopsida; Funariales; Funariaceae
Description: long non-coding RNA (PPAT_LNC003115)
Source: RNAcentral
AUAUAGCAAAGAAGGUUAAUACUUUUUAUUAACAAUAUCCAUCAAAAUUAAGAUGAAGAACCAUGAAAAUCUUUCUUAUAAAGCAAAUCAAGUUUAAUAAAGAUUUCAUUUUAUCUCUUAUCCUUAUUUGUGAAUUUUGUGUAUUUGUAGCAUCAAAAAGAUUAAAAAUUGAAAAAUAGUAGAUUUAAUUCAAGAUCUAUGUUUUAUUAAGUUA